UACGUAUGGGGCAAGCGUUAUCCGGAUUUACUGGGUGUAAAGGGAGCGUAGGCGGCGGGGCAAGCCUGAUGUGAAAGCCCGGGGCUCAACCCCGGGACUGCAUUGGGAACUGCCCUGCUGGAGUGCCGGAGGGGCAGGCGGGAUUCCUAGUGUAGCGGUGAAAUGCGUAGAUAUUAGGAGGAACACCAGUGGCGAAGGCGGCCUGCUGGACGACAACUGACGGUGAGGCGCGAAAGCGUGGGGAGCAAACAGG
Molecule: ribosomal RNA, 253 nt
Filed under: uncultured bacterium
Lineage: Bacteria
Description: partial 16S ribosomal RNA
Rfam family: Bacterial small subunit ribosomal RNA
Source: RNAcentral